RNAcentral lists this long non-coding RNA (594 nucleotides) under Pan troglodytes (chimpanzee). Its description in RNAcentral is "lincRNA". Lineage: Eukaryota; Metazoa; Chordata; Mammalia; Primates; Hominidae. The record is from RNAcentral.
AGAUCCAUACAAACCUACCGAGAUCUCAGGUUCAGUGCUUGUACUGAGCAAGGGCGUCAGGAAACAGCUGGCCUGUCUCCUUUCUCUCCCCUCAGCCGUCCUGUCACUGUCCCCGGACAGCCUAUCCGUUCCAGGUUCUCUGCCCCACACUGAUUAAGUUCCAAGGUGAACUGCAAAGAUUUCUGUUUUUCUUUAACAAGAGGAAGGAUCUUGAUUAAUUAUGUAAUACUGUAUUUCCUGAAUAUGGGCACUGUCUUUUACAUAUCUAAGAAAAUAAAGCUAGAGAGAAUUCCAAUGCAGAGUGUAGGAAGCUCUGCUGAAGUCUGUUCUGAGGUGUCUCUUAGCUGAUGAAAGGAUUUUCCUCUGUUCUGGCUGAAGGCAUGGCAUUCUUCUAGACUUGCAUAUUCAUCACAUUCACCCAAGACUUCCUUUGCUGGUGCCGAUCGCAGUGUACAUGGAAGGCUCCUGUCUUUGGUGAGAGUUUACUCCAGGCUGUCUCGGCUGCCUCCUGCAGACUUUGUGACUGUUCCGAGGGCUUUAGCUCUGGAUUUCUGUGACUCUUUCAGACAGAUUCCUUUUAUCUCCAUUUUGCUC